GAUGAACGCUGGCGGCGUGCCUAAUACAUGCAAGUAGAACGCUGAAGCUUGGUGCUUGCACCGAGCGGAUGAGUUGCGAACGGGUGAGUAACGCGUAGGUAACCUGCCUCUUAGCGGGGGAUAACUAUUGGAAACGAUAGCUAAUACCGCAUAAAAGACGAUAUCGCAUGAUAUUGAUUUGAAAGAUGCAAUUGCAUCACUAAGAGAUGGACCUGCGUUGUAUUAGCUAGUUGGUGAGGUAACGGCUCACCAAGGCGACGAUACAUAGCCGACCUGAGAGGGUGAUCGGCCACACUGGGACUGAGACACGGCCCAGACUCCUACGGGAGGCAGCAGUAGGGAAUCUUCGGCAAUGGGGGCAACCCUGACCGAGCAACGCCGCGUGAGUGAAGAAGGUUUUCGGAUCGUAAAGCUCUGUUGUAAGAGAAGAACGAGUGUGAGAGUGGAAAGUUCACACUGUGACGGUAACUUACCAGAAAGGGACGGCUAAUACG
RNAcentral lists this ribosomal RNA (494 nucleotides) under Streptococcus parasanguinis. RNAcentral's name for it is "bacterial SSU rRNA". It matches the Rfam family "Bacterial small subunit ribosomal RNA", at positions 28 to 504 of the family's 1533-position model. Lineage: Bacteria; Bacillati; Bacillota; Bacilli; Lactobacillales; Streptococcaceae. The record is from RNAcentral.